This is a long non-coding RNA of Helicoverpa armigera (cotton bollworm), 4507 nucleotides long. RefSeq lists it as uncharacterized. The transcript is spliced from 2 exons. Lineage: Eukaryota; Metazoa; Arthropoda; Insecta; Lepidoptera; Noctuidae. The record is from RefSeq and is a predicted model, not a curated record.
GUGAAUAAUAAAUGCUCGUGCAGUGGUGCAGGGUAUCGGUCAAGUUGAUAUGGCCAUGAAAUUGCUGUACUUGUGCUAUUAUUUAUUCCGUGGUCAAAGUUACAUAAAUGAUGAGUUAUCCAUUGGUCUGUGAAGUGUGAUUUUGCCGCCCCCUGAAUUUGCCGCCCGGGGCACAGGCCCCGGCUUGCCCCCCCCUAGAUCCGGGGCUGGGCAGUCGCUCCUUGUGGCACACUGGUACUCAGCUGCAUGCAGUUAGACUGGAAGCCGACACCAACAUAGUUGGGAAAAAGGCUCGGAGGAUGAUGAUGACCUUAUGUACGUAAUCAAUUGUAAUAAACGUAAUUUAUAAUUAGCAAUUUUAUUUAAUGCUUUAAGACAACCAGUAAAUUAUUUAUAUUAAUAUACUCGUUUAGAUAAUAUUUCGAGGUUUUUUCACAAUAUAUAUUCCUACAGUAAUCUCAAGCCACUUACAUUAAAUAUACGAAACACGUAGUUUACACAAAAAUAUUUCAAGAUAAUAACAAUUAACGUUAAAUAUAGCUUUCUAUAUGUUCUAGCUUAUUCUACACUCGUUGUAAGCGUAAAAAUAUCUCUUUAAGUAUAAAAAAACUGUCUUGAAAGUUGGUUUGUAAUAAUUCGCGUUUCAGAACGAUUAUUGCUAUUAGAAUGUUUUGUUUGUUAAAUAAAUAUGGAUUUCUAGUAUACACGAUAAAUGUAGAUAGUAAAAUAAUUUUUAUUUUACUGUGACAGAGAUAGUAAAAUAAUUUUUAUUUUACUGUGACAGUCAAAUUUUUUUUUGCUGGUCAUUCACUACAUUAUUAUAAAGUCCUCUUGCAAAGUGUUUCUUUGUGAAAAUCUCAAAAAUUACAACACAGAUUUCCAUGCGUUCUUUACUAAAAGAUAGAGUGAUUUUCGAUGCAGCUUUUGGUAUAUAAUUUAUACUCAUAUAAAGACGGGAUGAAACGCUGUAGUAUACCUUCAAUAAAUUAUAACAAAUUAUGCAGUUCACGCUUGACUAAAUAAAACUAUUUCUUUAUUUUUAACCAUAUAGCUAUUGACAGCAACGUUUAACGCCUUUAACGAUAAUAACAGUUACUCUUAGUAACGGUUAUUUUAAAAUAACAGUUAUUUUCAAUAACGUUAUAUGUAACUUAUGAGAUAUACAAUAAUGAACAAUUUUGUAUCUAAGUUAUUUGUGUUGCCAUAAUUAUUGUAAUAUAAUACCUUUUUUAUUGUAUAGCAACAUUAGUGAUACUCAUUUUUAAUUGUAAAUAAUUUAGUUUUUUAGUUUCGGCCGUUUUUUUUUGUCGUACGACAUUUUUGCUUGCGUUUUUUAACCGUCCUCCAUUAUAUUUUAUUUUGACUGCUUUGGGGUCAAAAAAGACUACGUAUAGGUACUCCGUUUUAGUAGGCUCUUAGGAUUUUUUACACAAAUACGUAAUAAAUGAAAUAAAUGAGCUACUGCUUAAAAUAAUGACUCAAUUGAUUUACUUUAAGUAACUAUUAUUAUUGUAUUUAGCCAUUUUUUACUGAGUUUUUAAAUAGUCUUAUUAGAAUUGUUUAUUUAUAGGUAAGUGCUUAUUCAAAUGGAGUAUGAAACAGUACCUAAAUUAAAAAAUGUCUUUACAAAGUAUUAUUUGGAUCUAGUAAUAUUAUUUUACGCAAAAAAAAUGUCGUACGAUAAAAAAAUAGCGGUCUUACAAAAUUGUCUGCCUUAUAGCAAGUAGGUAUACGGAGAACUAAAUGACUAGCGGAGAUGUCAUAACGCAAAAUCUCCUAAGAAAGUAGCGCGACAACAUGCGGGUGCGAGGGGGACGAGGAACGUUACUAGCUCCGCCCUCAUACGCCUUCUUUGGACCCCGCCCAUUUUUCAACACGCUUAUACAGGGUGUGUCGUUCACAAUCACAUUAAAUCCUAUCGCAUAUACUUUAUGAUAUUCUAUGGCGAAUUGUGAAAAAAUAACCUAAUCCAUUCUGUGGUUUAGCCACGGGAGUUAUUAUUCGUUUUUAUAAUUUACAAAAUCAUGUGUAAAGCAGAGAUAAAGUUAGGAUUAUCGAAUGUUUUGAUCAGUUGACAGCUGUCAGUUUUCAAGGGAGAAUUUCCGUUGUUUGUAAUGACUGACUUUUAUAUGGUGUUCUAAUUUUCGCACAUUUUUAUUCCGUUUACUUUGAAAAAUUCUUUUUUUUAUUUUACGGUAUAUUAACGCAUUUUAUUUAAUUUUAUUGUGAAGUGUGAAUGACACACCCAAUAUUAGCUUCACUAGUAACUAUGUAUGUAAGAAAAUCUUGGAAUCUUAAUUUGACUCACUUCCCGGUCUUCGAUUAGGAUGAAAUUUUGCACACGCUCUGAGUUCUGAUGACAAUACAUGACUAGCGUGUUUUUUUUAGAUUUUUUUACUAUUUUUCUUAAUCAACUAUUUUUGACAGAUGUUUCAAGAGACCUGAACGCCUCGUUAGUUCACUCGUAACUGGUCGUUUUGGUCAUGCUCAUUGUAAGAUUUUGACCUAGUAGUUGUCGCCUGACCUACCUGCCUUAUGUUGUCUCCGCUAUAUUUCUUCCUCCGUAAUUAGAAAACAGAGGGCAUUUCAUAUUUUGUUGAAUAAUUGUUGUGUAGUUAAUAUAUCUUUAUCUUCACUGUUAUUUGUAGCUGGCCGACUUUUUAGUCGCAAGUGUGCGCUUGUAAUCGCCUUUAGAGUGGGCGCACACUUUCGUUUGUCGCUUUGUCGACGCUUUCACAUAUCUUGUUGUUUAGCACAAAAUUCGUUGUUUUUAACGCUUCGGUUAUUUGAUGUUGUAGGUAGCGGAAAUAAUAUCUGGUAUUUUUUUACUAAUAUUAAUGAUAAAUGCUAAGUUUGUCUGUCUAUCACGCUUGUAACAUAAAACGGCUGAUCUGAUUGUGUUACAAUUUGUAAAAAAAACUUGCGUUAAUAUGAUAACUUUUUAUCUAGGUUUGUAAUUCGCAGUUCCGUCUAGAUAUAUAAUUUCAUGCAAAUCGGAUCAGCCGUUUUAUCCUUCUAUCGAAGCAAACUUGCUAUUUAUAAUAUUAGUAGAAAAAGUUGAAGCUACCUACCAUUAAAUAUUCUAUGUAUCUGAAUAUAAGCGUAAUACUUAAAUGUUAUAAAUUGUAAACAAUACUAUGUUCGUUAGAGUUGUAAUCAGAUUGAGUAUCCGGCCUUAAAAACAGGCCGAAAGCCGAAUAUUUUAGCCGAACUUUUACUUUUUAAUAAAUUUUAACAGAUAUCAAGUGAUUUUUGUUCAUUGGUUUUUAUAUAAAAAAUCAAAUAUUUAAUUUUACUUGAAGAAACUGUUUUCAGUUUGUUCAUUUUUUAUCAUUGGCAGCUAAAAUUGUCCCUGUGAUAUUUAUACACAAAAUUGGCUAGUUUUACCGGUUACUGAUAGCCUACCAGGAACAUAUUUGGCAGCCCUUAUCUAACAGAUAGCAUUAACUAUUAGAUAACUAAGUGACACUGUCCGUAACCAGUUUAAAGCUUUAAAAUAUUUAUAUUAUUUAUAUAAAAUACUAGCUGUUGCCCGCGGCUUCGCUCCCGUCAACUGAAUUCUCUACUUUACCCUAUUUUUUUUUUCAUAAGAACCUUCUCCUGACAAUAACAAACACAACAAAAAAAGAAUUAGCCAAAUUGGUCCAGGCGUUGUUGAGUAAUGCGCUUACCAACACAUUUUGCGAUUCAUUUUUAUAUUAUAGAUUCUCAUUUUUACCCAACUAUUCGUCCUUUGAUUACAACUCUAAUGCCCGUUUUCACCAACAACCUCUUACCGUUUCCCUAUCUAAAAGCUACUUUUAACAAGGACCCCUCCCAAUUUGACACCUACCUAAAUUCAUUUUCACCACACUUGUACAUGGAUCCCUUAAGUAAGUGACAGAUUACUAGUUCUACAAACGAUAAUGCAAAGUCGAUAUUUUAUCGAUAAAAUGAUUUUUCUCUACUUCUUAAGAAAUAAACGUCUAUCGAGUAUAUAUUGCUAAAGCCUGUGAGUUUUUUUUCUUGUGAUGUUAUUUUAAUUUAACUUAAACUACAUUACGCUAUGUUUUAUGCAAUAAAACAGUAAAGAGGUUUUCUAUAGGUGAAUUUUAUACCUAUGUCAUUCGCGCGUUUGUCAAAUUGACUGAUGUGUACAUAGAGUGAGGUUAAUUUUGGGUUUAUUAUUGUUGAAUAGAUAAGUUUAUUUUGGCAGAGAACAGAAAACGAGGAUAAACCUUUCUUGCAGAAGAAAAAGACAAGCUAGUGAAAUUGCUGACGUCUCAUAGAGACACAAUAUUAAACAAAAAACGGAUGGGACCACGAACGAAGCCAAAAACAAAGCUUGGAUCCAGUUACAAAUAGUUUUAAUGCGAUAGGAACCGUUUACAGUUUCAGGUGGUGCGAGAAAUUGGAAAGACGUGUAAAAACAUGCUGCGCCCAGCCCACCUCAAAUUGAAUUGGUGCAGGAGGAUUAUGAUAAUGUUUGGUACAUCAUAUGAGGACUAAUAUUAAAAUAUUUGUUUAC